GUGUCAGCCGCCGCGGUAAUACGGAGGGUGCAAGCGUUAAUCGGAAUUACUGGGCGUAAAGCGCACGUAGGUGGUUUUGUAAGUCGGAUGUGAAAGCCCUGGGCUUAACCUGGGAAUUGCAUUCGAUACUGCUUGACUAGAGUAUGGUAGAGGGAAGUGGAAUUUCCGGUGUAGCGGUGAAAUGCGUAGAUAUCGGAAGGAACACCAGUGGCGAAGGCGACUUCCUGGGCCAAUACUGACACUGAGGUGCGAAAGCGUGGGUAGCAAACAGGAUUAGAUACCCUGGUAGUCCACGCCGUAAACGAUGAGAACUAGAUGUUGGGAGGGUUGCCUCCCGGUGUCGCAGCUAACGCGUUAAGUUCUCCGCCUGGGGAGUACGCCGGCAACGGUAAA
This 393-nucleotide ribosomal RNA is filed under the name uncultured bacterium. RNAcentral's name for it is "bacterial SSU rRNA". It matches the Rfam family "Bacterial small subunit ribosomal RNA", at positions 505 to 898 of the family's 1533-position model. The record is from RNAcentral.